UACGGAUGGUGCAAGCGUUAUCCGGAUUCACUGGGUUUAAAGGGUGCGUAGGCGGAUUGGUAAGUCCGUGGUGAAAUCUCUAAGCUUAACUUGGAAACUGCCAUGGAUACUAUUAGUCUUGAAUAUUGUGGAGGUUAGCGGAAUAUGUCAUGUAGCGGUGAAAUGCAUAGAUAUGACAUAGAACACCAAUUGCGAAGGCAGCUGGCUACACAAAUAUUGACGCUGAUGCACGAAAGCGUGGGGAUCAAACAGG
This 253-nucleotide ribosomal RNA is filed under the name uncultured bacterium. RNAcentral's name for it is "partial 16S ribosomal RNA". It matches the Rfam family "Bacterial small subunit ribosomal RNA", at positions 524 to 776 of the family's 1533-position model. The record is from RNAcentral.